RNAcentral lists this ribosomal RNA (497 nucleotides) under uncultured bacterium. Its description in RNAcentral is "partial 16S ribosomal RNA". It matches the Rfam family "Bacterial small subunit ribosomal RNA", at positions 28 to 507 of the family's 1533-position model. The record is from RNAcentral.
GAUGAACGCUGGCGGCGUGCCUAAUACAUGCAAGUCGAGUGAACAGACGAGGAGCUUGCUCCUCUGACGUUGGCGGCGGACGGGUGAGUAACACGUGGAUAACCUACCUAUAAGACUGGGAUAACUUCGGGAAACCGGAGCUAAUACCGUAUAACAUGUUGAACCGCAUGGUUCAACAGUGAAAGACGGUCUUGCUGUCACUUAUAGAUGGAUCCGCGCCGCAUUAGCUAGUUGGUAAGGUAACGGCUUACCAAGGCAACGAUGCGUAGCCGACCUGAGAGGGUGAUCGGCCACACUGGAACUGAGACACGGUCCAGACUCCUACGGGAGGCAGCAGUAGGGAAUCUUCCGCAAUGGGCGAAAGCCUGACGGAGCAACGCCGCGUGAGUGAAGAAGGUCUUCGGAUCGUAAAACUCUGUUAUUAGGGAAGAACAAAUGUGUAAGUAACUAUGCACGUCUUGACGGUACCUAAUCAGAAAGCCACGGCUAACUACGUG